This 30-nucleotide small RNA is filed under the name Bombyx mori (domestic silkworm). Its description in RNAcentral is "ovarian small RNA-26621". Lineage: Eukaryota; Metazoa; Arthropoda; Insecta; Lepidoptera; Bombycidae. The record is from RNAcentral.
UCCAAUUGGUAUGCCGUGCUCAUGCAGCCC